This 433-nucleotide ribosomal RNA is filed under the name uncultured bacterium. Its description in RNAcentral is "partial 16S ribosomal RNA". It matches the Rfam family "Bacterial small subunit ribosomal RNA", at positions 29 to 507 of the family's 1533-position model. The record is from RNAcentral.
AACGAACGCUGGCGGCAUGCCUAACACAUGCAAGUCGAACGAGACCUUCGGGUCUAGUGGCGCACGGGUGCGUAACGCGUGGGAACCUGCCCUUAGGUUCGGAAUAACUCCCCGAAAGGGGUGCUAAUACCGGAUAAUGUCUUCGGACCAAAGAUUUAUCGCCUUUGGAUGGGCCCGCGUUGGAUUAGCUAGUUGGUAGGGUAAAAGCCUACCAAGGCGACGAUCCAUAGCUGGUCUGAGAGGAUGAUCAGCCACACUGGGACUGAGACACGGCCCAGACUCCUACGGGAGGCAGCAGUGGGGAAUAUUGGACAAUGGGCGAAAGCCUGAUCCAGCAAUGCCGCGUGAGUGAUGUAGGCCUUAGGGUUGUAAAGCUCUUUUACCCGGGAUGAUAUUGACAGUACCGGGAGAAUAAGCUCCGGCUAACUCCGUG